AAGUCGAACGAGAAACUGAUUAGCUUGCUUUGAAGUUUCUAGUGGCGGACGGGUUAGUAACACGUGAGCAACCUGCCUUAAAGUGGGGAAUAGUCCUGGGAAACUGGGUUUAAUACCGCAUGUGCCCUACGGGGUAAAGGUGGCUUCGGCCAUCGCUUUAAGAUGGGCUCGCGUCCUAUCAGCUAGUUGGUGAGGUAAAGGCUCACCAAGGCAACGACGGGUAGUUGGUCUGAGAGGAUGAUCAGCAACACUGGAACUGAGACACGGUCCAGACACCUACGGGUGGCAGCAGUCGAGAAUCAUUCACAAUGGGGGAAACCCUGAUGGUGCAACGCCGCGUGGAGGAUGAAGGCCCUAGGGUCGUAAACUCCUGUCAUCUAGGAGUAAGGCAUAAGGGUUAAUAGCCGCUUAUGUUUGAUAGUACUAGAAGAGGAAGGGACGGCUAACUUCGUGCCAGCAGCCGCGGUAAUACGAAGGUCCCGAGCGUUAUUCGGAAUCACUGGGCGUAAAGGGAGCGUAGGCGGCGUGGUAAGUCAGAUGUGAAAGCCCAGGGCUCAACCCUGGAACUGCAUUCGAUACUGCCAUGCUAGAGUAGUGGAGGGGUAAUCGGAAUUUUCGGUGUAGCAGUGAAAUGCGUGGAUAUCGAAAGGAAGACCAAUGGCGAAGGCAGAUUACUGGACACUUACUGACGCUGAGGCUCGAAGGCUAGGGGAGCGAAAGGGAUUAGAUACCCCUGUAGUCCUAGCAGUAAACGAUGUGCGCUUGGUGUGGGAAGGUUCGACCCUUUCCGUGCCGGAGCUAACGCGUUAAGCGCACCGCCUGGGGAGUACGGUCGCAAGACUAAAACUCAAAGAAAUUGACGGGGACCCGCACAAGCG
Molecule: ribosomal RNA, 878 nt
Filed under: uncultured marine organism
Description: SSU rRNA
Rfam family: Bacterial small subunit ribosomal RNA
Source: RNAcentral